This is a long non-coding RNA of Lagenorhynchus albirostris (white-beaked dolphin), 878 nucleotides long. RefSeq lists it as uncharacterized. The transcript has 3 exons. Lineage: Eukaryota; Metazoa; Chordata; Mammalia; Artiodactyla; Delphinidae. The record is from RefSeq and is a predicted model, not a curated record.
CGCCCGCCGCGGACGCGGCCCGCUGCCCGGGCCUCGGCGGCCGCCAACUCCCUCCUCCUCCAAAUCCUCCUCCUCCUCAGCUGCCAACCCUAAGGCCGCCGGCUGCCGAGUGCAACCGGGAGGUGGAAUCCCUCUGACAGAGGGCAUCCCUUUCCAGUGUUGGGGCCCAAGAGCAGAGCGGCGCAUCCCACCCACGGGUCCCGCCUAAGACCCCUGAAGGGGUAGAAAAGAGAGGAACCACCACGAGGAGAACCGACAGCGAGCCAGGGACCCGCGGGAAGGCAUUUAAGGAGUUUGAGAAGACUCUUGCGAUGCCCCUAAUCAACUGGGAGCUUUGUGAGUAUAGCGGCAGACUAGGAUUCACAACCGAUGAUCAGCAGUACCCAAGAACAGCCCACAGUGAAGCUGGAGACCACAAAAGGCCCACAGCCCACACCUCUGCAGAGCAUUUUGGAGAAGACAGGUGGAAGAUAAAGUAAGGCCAAACCUCAUGACUGGCCGGUGACUUGGUGAAGGCUGUCCCUGAGCAAAAAUUUUUGCACCAUGCUGGUGGAAGGAACCGAAACCAGUCUGAAUGAAGAUCAGCUGGUCUUUUGCGGUCCCGUUCCAGAUGGGACAUUUACCCUGACUCUGAGGUUGUUCUAGCUUUAUGGUAGGGUCUCCUAUCAGAAUCCACAUCUUCGGUGUUACUUUUAUUGUUGUUUUCCUUUCUUACUUAGUGCCAGAGAAAAUGCUGCCUCUUCCGACUAACAGUAUCUUAGAUGAAAUACAGUAUAUUUGAAAUAAUGAUUAUGCAACUUAAGAAACACAUAGACAAUAUUUUCCACACCUUAAGUAUUCCUCAAAGACAUUAUUUUAAUGAUUGCCCAUGAUUCAUA